CCGGGUACCAAUACCAUUUCCCCCACCCCACCAUACCCCCUUUCCGUUUAGUGAACCUGCGGAAGGAUCAUUACCGAGUGCGGGUCCUUUGGGCCCAACCUCCCAUCCGUGUCUAUUGUACCCUGUUGCUUCGGCGGGCCCGCCGCUUGUCGGCCGCCGGGGGGGCGCCUCUGCCCCCCGGGCCCGUGCCCGCCGGAGACCCCAACACGAACCCUGUCUGAAAGCGUGCAGUCUGAGUCGAUUGUUUGCAAUCAGUUAAAACUUUCAACAAUGGAUCUCUUGGUUCCGGCAUCGAUGAAGAACGCAGCGAAAUGCGAUAACUAAUGUGAAUUGCAGAAUUCAGUGAAUCAUCGAGUCUUUGAACGCACAUUGCGCCCCCUGGUAUUCCGGGGGGCAUGCCUGUCCGAGCGUCAUUGCUGCCCUCAAGCCCGGCUUGUGUGUUGGGUCGCCGUCCCCUCUCUCCGGGGGGACGGGCCCGAAAGGCAGCGGCGGCACCGCGUCCGAUCCUCGAGCGUAUGGGGCUUUGUCACAUGCUCUGUAGGAUUGGCCGGCGCCUGCCGACGUUUUCCAACCAUUCUUUCCAGGUGACCUCGAUCAGUAGGAUACCCCGUA
RNAcentral lists this ribosomal RNA (612 nucleotides) under Aspergillus sp. ASR-17. Its description in RNAcentral is "eukaryotic LSU rRNA". The stretch from base 260 to 413 matches the Rfam family "5.8S ribosomal RNA". The record is from RNAcentral. Lineage: Eukaryota; Fungi; Ascomycota; Eurotiomycetes; Eurotiales; Aspergillaceae.